AUGAUGGGAAAGGUCUCCAGCCGGAAAUCAAAGGCGUCCAAUGCUAAUGCUAGAGACCUUAAAAAUCUUGUAGGGCGCAAGAUAAAAUGCCCAAAUUGUCUUACUAUGUAUUUCACUCCAGAUUUCCUUAACACUCAUCCUAUCUAUCCUAACCAAGACCUGAAUUUCCAUGUUCCACUUGUUCGUCAAAUGUUUCUGCUUCACAACUCGCUUGGUGAAGCCUAUCCCCCAAACUGCACUGUAGGCUACGACACCUCAUGCUUCAGAAUGGAUUAUGGACAGUGGAUGUACCAAUCACAUGACUGGUGA
Molecule: ribosomal RNA, 309 nt
Filed under: Triticum aestivum (bread wheat)
Lineage: Eukaryota; Viridiplantae; Streptophyta; Magnoliopsida; Poales; Poaceae
Description: partial small subunit ribosomal RNA
Source: RNAcentral